This 253-nucleotide ribosomal RNA is filed under the name uncultured bacterium. RNAcentral's name for it is "partial 16S ribosomal RNA". It matches the Rfam family "Bacterial small subunit ribosomal RNA", at positions 524 to 776 of the family's 1533-position model. The record is from RNAcentral.
UACGUAGGCAGCGAGCGUUGUUCGGAGUUACUGGGCGUAAAGAGUGCGUAGGCGGUUUUCUAAGUUUGGUGUGAAAUCUCCCGGCUCAACUGGGGGGGUGCGCCGAAGACUGGAAGGCUUGAGUAUGGGAGAGGUAAGCGGAAUUCCUGGUGUAGCGGUGAAAUGCGUAGAUAUCAGGAGGAACACCUGCGGUGUAGACGGCUUACUGGACCAUAACUGACGCUGAGGCACGAAAGCGUGGGUAGCAAACAGG